UACGGAAGGCAGCAGUGGGGAAUAUUGCACAAUGGGCGCAAGCCUGAUGCAGCCAUGCCGCGUGUAUGAAGAAGGCCUUCGGGUUGUAAAGUACUUUCAGUCGUGAGGAAGGUGUUAAGGUUAAUAACCUUAGCAAUUGACGUUAGCGACAGAAGAAGCAUCGGCUAACUCCGUGCCAGCAGCCGCGGUAAUACGGAGGGUGCGAGCGUUAAUCGGAAUUACUGGGCGUAAAGGGCACGCAGGCGGUUAAUUAAGUUGGAUGUGAAAUCCCCGGGCUUAACCUGGGAAUGGCAUUCAAGACUGGUUAGCUAGAGUCUUGUAGAGGGGGUAGAAUUCCAUGUGUAGCGGUGAAAUGCGUAGAGAUGUGGAGGAAUACCGGUGGCGAAGGCGGCCCCUGGGACAAAGACUGACGCUCAUGUGCGAAAGCGUGGGGAGCAAACAGGGAUUAGAUACC
Molecule: ribosomal RNA, 454 nt
Filed under: uncultured bacterium
Lineage: Bacteria
Description: bacterial SSU rRNA
Rfam family: Bacterial small subunit ribosomal RNA
Source: RNAcentral